RNAcentral lists this ribosomal RNA (1001 nucleotides) under Streptococcus gordonii. RNAcentral describes it as "bacterial SSU rRNA". It matches the Rfam family "Bacterial small subunit ribosomal RNA", at positions 28 to 1003 of the family's 1533-position model. The record is from RNAcentral. Lineage: Bacteria; Bacillati; Bacillota; Bacilli; Lactobacillales; Streptococcaceae.
GACGAACGCUGGCGGCGUGCCUAAUACAUGCAAGUAGAACGCACAGUUUAUACCGUAGCUUGCUACACCAUAGACUGUGAGUUGCGAACGGGUGAGUAACGCGUAGGUAACCUGCCUGGUAGCGGGGGAUAACUAUUGGAAACGAUAGCUAAUACCGCAUAAUAUUAAUUAUUGCAUGAUAAUUGAUUGAAAGGUGCAAUUGCACCACUACCAGAUGGACCUGCGUUGUAUUAGCUAGUAGGUGAGGUAACGGCUCACCUAGGCGACGAUACAUAGCCGACCUGAGAGGGUGAUCGGCCACACUGGGACUGAGACACGGCCCAGACUCCUACGGGAGGCAGCAGUAGGGAAUCUUCGGCAAUGGACGAAAGUCUGACCGAGCAACGCCGCGUGAGUGAAGAAGGUUUUCGGAUCGUGAAGUUCUGUUGUAAGAGAAGAACGGGUGUGAGAGUGGAAAGUUCACACUGUGACGGUAUCUUACCAGAAAGGGACGGCUAACUACGUGCCAGCAGCCGCGGUAAUACGUAGGUCCCGAGCGUUGUCCGGAUUUAUUGGGCGUAAAGCGAGCGCAGGCGGUUAGAUAAGUCUGAAGUUAAAGGCUGUGGCUUAACCAUAGUGCGCUUUGGAAACUGUUUAACUUGAGUGCAGAAGGGGAGAGUGGAAUUCCAUGUGUAGCGGUGAAAUGCGUAGAUAUAUGGAGGAACACCGGUGGCGAAAGCGGCUCUCUGGUCUGUAACUGACGCUGAGGCUCGAAAGCGUGGGGAGCGAACAGGAUUAGAUACCCUGGUAGUCCACGCCGUAAACGAUGAGUGCUAGGUGUUAGGCCCUUUCCGGGGCUUAGUGCCGCAGCUAACGCAUUAAGCACUCCGCCUGGGGAGUACGACCGCAAGGUUGAAACUCAAAGGAAUUGACGGGGGCCCGCACAAGCGGUGGAGCAUGUGGUUUAAUUCGAAGCAACGCGAAGAACCUUACCAGGUCUUGACAUCCCGAUGCCCGCUCUA